This 429-nucleotide ribosomal RNA is filed under the name Actinomycetes bacterium. Its description in RNAcentral is "Actinobacteria bacterium partial 16S ribosomal RNA". It matches the Rfam family "Bacterial small subunit ribosomal RNA", at positions 355 to 776 of the family's 1533-position model. The record is from RNAcentral. Lineage: Bacteria; Bacillati; Actinomycetota; Actinomycetes.
UAGGGAAUCUUCCGCAAUGGGCGAAAGCCUGACGGAGCAACGCCGCGUGAGUGAUGAAGGUCUUCGGAUCGUAAAACUCUGUUCUUAGGGAAGAACAAAUGUGUAAGUAACUAUGCACGUCUUGACGGUACCUAAUCAGAAAGCCACGGCUAACUACGUGCCAGCAGCCGCGGUAAUACGUAGGUGGCAAGCGUUAUCCGGAAUUAUUGGGCGUAAAGCGCGCGUAGGCGGUUUUUUAAGUCUGAUGUGAAAGCCCACGGCUCAACCGUGGAGGGUCAUUGGAAACUGGAAAACUUGAGUGCAGAAGAGGAAAGGGGAAUUCCAUGUGUAGCGGUGAAAUGCGCAGAGAUAUGGAGGAACACCAGUGGCGAAGGCGACUUACUGGUCUGUAACUGACGCUGAUGUGCGAAAGCGUGGGGAUCAAACAGG